RNAcentral lists this long non-coding RNA (301 nucleotides) under Mustela putorius furo (domestic ferret). Its description in RNAcentral is "lncRNA (ENSMPUG00000027929.1)". Lineage: Eukaryota; Metazoa; Chordata; Mammalia; Carnivora; Mustelidae. The record is from RNAcentral.
AUGAUUUGCAUAAUAACACAAAGAAGGCUGGCAGCACAGAUUUUCAGUUCCUGUGACCUUAUAUAUGCUAUCCUGUGUCUUAUAUCUCAACCGACUCACAGUUUACAGCGGGCUAAUGUGGACCACUUGAGAAUAGAAUGCCUUCAAGGGUACCAUUUGUGUCUGGAAAAUCAGCCUCUUCUCUUGAAAAGAGUGGUGGCCAUCUAUCACUCAGCUGGGUGACAAUGUGCUUAUUUCAUAAUCUCAAUUUCUUCAACUCCGAACUUAGAGAAAUAUGAAUAAUAUACUUUAUAGGAAGAAG